Molecule: ribosomal RNA, 464 nt
Filed under: Staphylococcus nepalensis
Lineage: Bacteria; Bacillati; Bacillota; Bacilli; Caryophanales; Staphylococcaceae
Description: bacterial SSU rRNA
Rfam family: Bacterial small subunit ribosomal RNA
Source: RNAcentral
CAUGCAAGUCGAGCGAACAGAUAAGGAGCUUGCUCCUUUGACGUUAGCGGCGGACGGGUGAGUAACACGUGGGUAACCUACCUAUAAGACUGGAAUAACUCCGGGAAACCGGGGCUAAUGCCGGAUAAUAUUUAGAACCGCAUGGUUCUAAAGUGAAAGAUGGUUUUGCUAUCACUUAUAGAUGGACCCGCGCCGUAUUAGCUAGUUGGUGGGGUAAUGGCUUACCAAGGCAACGAUACGUAGCCGACCUGAGAGGGUGAUCGGCCACACUGGAACUGAGACACGGUCCAGACUCCUACGGGAGGCAGCAGUAGGGAAUCUUCCGCAAUGGGCGAAAGCCUGACGGAGCAACGCCGCGUGAGUGAUGAAGGUCUUCGGAUCGUAAAACUCUGUUAUUAGGGAAGAACAAAUGUGUAAGUAACUGUGCACGUCUUGACGGUACCUAAUCAGAAAGCCACGGCUAA